UAGAAUAAGUUAGUAGGUGUGUUGUACGUGUUAGGAGGUUAGUUAGUUAGAAGUGACAGCUGUCACUAUACAGCUAUCACAUGAAGCUAACAAACAACACUAUAAAUGCAAGCCUAUAGAGACUCAAUGUAACAGAUUUCAGUUAGUAAAAAUCAGAUUCUUCUUCUAGAUCCUUCCUUUUCUUCGUUCUCUCUUAUUCUUAGCUCAAUUAAUACAGAAAUCUAACAUUGUAUCAAAGCCAUCAUGGCUGAUUGAAGGUGAUAAUCGAUGCUAGAGAUCUCUGAUUUCAACUAAUCAGUGAGAAGUUUAGCUGCUGUUGAUCGUUCUCAUCUUUCACUGUUGUGUCAAUGGCGGUUACUCGAAACUCUACUGCAGAAGCUGCAACUACAACUGCAGCACCUGGGAAUACAGCUACGUCUGGUAUAAUUGAGAUUGACCAUAAUCACCCUCUGUAUUUGCAUCCUAAUGAUACUCAAGGUAGCUCUC
RNAcentral lists this long non-coding RNA (486 nucleotides) under Capsicum annuum. RNAcentral's name for it is "long non-coding RNA (CANN_LNC015032)". The record is from RNAcentral. Lineage: Eukaryota; Viridiplantae; Streptophyta; Magnoliopsida; Solanales; Solanaceae.